AUAGAGACUUAGUGUGUCAAACGGCCGCGGUAUCCUGACCGUGCAAAGGUAGCAUAAUCAUUUGUUCUCUAAAUAAGGACUUGUAUGAAUGGCCACACGAGGGUUUAACUGUCUCUUACUCCCAAUCAGUGAAAUUGACCUUCCCGUGAAGAGGCGGGAAUGCCACAAUAAGACGAGAAGACCCUAUGGAGA
Molecule: ribosomal RNA, 192 nt
Filed under: Canis aureus (golden jackal)
Lineage: Eukaryota; Metazoa; Chordata; Mammalia; Carnivora; Canidae
Description: partial large subunit ribosomal RNA
Rfam family: Archaeal large subunit ribosomal RNA
Source: RNAcentral